This 253-nucleotide ribosomal RNA is filed under the name uncultured bacterium. RNAcentral describes it as "partial 16S ribosomal RNA". It matches the Rfam family "Bacterial small subunit ribosomal RNA", at positions 524 to 776 of the family's 1533-position model. The record is from RNAcentral.
UACGUAGGGGGCAAGCGUUGUCCGGAUUUAUUGGGCGUAAGGAGCGUGUAGGCGGCCUGAAAGGUCAGCUGUGAAAACUCGAGGCUCAACCUCGAGACGUCGGUUGAAACCAUCUGGCUAGAGUCCGGAAGAGGAGAGUGGAAUUCCCGGUGUAGCGGUGAAAUGCGCAGAUAUCGGGAAGAACACCCGUGGCGAAGGCGGCUCUCUGGGACGGUACUGACGCUGAGACGCGAAAGCGUGGGGAGCGAACAGG